AUUGAACGCCGGCGGAAUGCUUUACACAUGCAAGUCGAACGGCAGCACGGACUUCGGUCUGGUGGCGAGUGGCGAACGGGUGAGUAAUGUAUCGGAACGUGCCCAGUCGUGGGGGAUAACGUAGUGAAAAUUACGCUAAUACUGCAUACGAUCUAUGGAUGAAAGCGGGGGAUCGCAAGACCUCGCGCGAUUGGAGCGGCCGAUAUCAGAUUAGGUAGUUGGUGGGGUAAAGGCCCACCAAGCCAACGAUCUGUAGCUGGUCUGAGAGGACGACCAGCCACACUGGAACUGAGACACGGUCCAGACUCCUACGGGAGGCAGCAGUGGGGAAUUUUGGACAAUGGGCGAAAGCCUGAUCCAGCCAUUCCGCGUGCAGGAUGAAGGCCCUCGGGUUGUAAACUGCUUUUGUACAGAACGAAAAGGUUUCUACUAAUACUAGGAGCUCAUGACGGUACUGUAAGAAUAAGCACCGGCUAACUACGUGCCAGCCGCCGCGGUAA
Molecule: ribosomal RNA, 500 nt
Filed under: uncultured bacterium
Lineage: Bacteria
Description: partial 16S ribosomal RNA
Rfam family: Bacterial small subunit ribosomal RNA
Source: RNAcentral